AGAUGUGGGAUACUACGCGUGGCGCUGCCCGAAGCCGCUGAAGAACCGCGACGUGGUGACGCUGCGAUCGUGGCUGCAAAUAGGGGACGUGUUCAUCAUCAUCAACAGAUCCGUCAAACACCCGAACUACCCACCCCGUAAGGACGUGGUGCGGGCCGUGUCCAUCUGUACCGGGUACC
Coturnix japonica (Japanese quail) is the source of this 179-nucleotide non-coding RNA. The record is from RefSeq and is a predicted model, not a curated record. NCBI's taxonomy places the organism in Eukaryota, Metazoa, Chordata, Aves, Galliformes, Phasianidae.